UACGUAGGAGGCAAGCGUUGUCCGGAAUUACUGGGUGUAAAGCGCGUGUAGGCGGCAGGCCAAGUCUGUGGUGAAAGCCCCCGGCUCAACUGGGGAGGGUCACGCGAUACUGAUCGACUCGAAGGCAGGAGAGGGUAGUGGAAUUCCCGGUGUAGUGGUGAAAUGCGUAGAUAUCGGGAGGAACACCAGUGGCGAAGGCGACUACCUGGCCUGUUCUUGACGCUGAGGCGCGAAAGCUAGGGGAGCAAACGGG
This 253-nucleotide ribosomal RNA is filed under the name uncultured bacterium. RNAcentral describes it as "partial 16S ribosomal RNA". It matches the Rfam family "Bacterial small subunit ribosomal RNA", at positions 524 to 776 of the family's 1533-position model. The record is from RNAcentral.